GUAGCUGAAUGUAAAGAAAGCCGAGACUACCGAUUCCUAGCUGGAUAACUGGUGAUAAAACUAGAAAAACAGGUAAAACCUAUAAUUCUAGUAAAUAUCGAUAACUAGUGAAUAAAUCUAAACGAAACGACAGCGAUGCGCCCGAAGUUAAAGCUUAGAAUUUACUCGAUAAGCGGAACUUACAAGAUCGGCCGGAGAUCAAGUUGAUGCAGCCCUGCCAACCCGUACGAACUCGUGAAAAGAGAAAGUAUUUGGCGAAGUCGCCUGCUUGAAAGUAAGUGCGAGGAAAAAGUAGUUGGUUGUAUUGAUUUGUUGAUGAUCACAUAUUUUACAAAAGUAGCUAUUUAUAGCCCCGUACAGAUGACCCCUUAACCGACUAGAACUCUAUCUCUAAUCCAAAUAGAAAACGAAUAUUUACAAGCACGAUUCGUGCUAGGUUGGUUAUUAUAUGCUCCACGGGCUGAUCUCCCCUUCAUCCUUCUAUUUCCUUUCCAAGCCCAUACCGGCCCAAUUAUCCCAACCUCCUUAAUCAGCCGAUUCCUUAUCGGCAAAAGGUAACCGAUCGGGAACCUGUAGUGUCCGAUCCGAACCCCAGGGGUUAAGCGAGGCGGAAGUCAUCGGCUGAUCCCGCACUGUAACAUUGGCCGAUCUUGGACUGUAGCGCCAACCAACCGAUCUAGAACUGUAGCGCCAUUCGGCCGAUUCCCAACUGUACUCCUCCAAUUUCCUCUUCUUUUGGCGCCGAUUUCACUGGUGACGAAAUCUGGCGUCAACAGGAACGAUCGGUGGUGGGCACCGUGGACUUGUAGUGGUGGCAGGGGUUGUGGAAAGAGAGAAGGGGAGGAGAGAGGGAGGGCAGUGCUCGCUGAUGCCGGAGACAAUGCCGGCGAGGUGGAAGUUGGUGGCUUCGGAAUAGGGAUGCGAGCGAAGGGAGAUGAUAGGAAUAGAGAACAGACAAUGCCGACGAGGUGGAAGUUGGUGGCUUUGGAAUAGGGAUGUGAGCGAAGGGAGAUGAUAGGAAUAGAGAACCAACGAAGGAAGACAAAGAAUGGGCUAGAUAAGAAUAAGGCAAGAGUAAAUGUGUGGGCCUGAGGUGCGAAGGGACCUGUCGACCAACGGCUAUUUCAACAGGCCUCCCUCACUAGCGCCUCCUUUUCUCUUUAUGCAUUUCAAAUUCUCGAGAUAAGGAGAUAUUUUCUUUUUGAAUGACCAACAACUAGGGGUGAGUAUGAAUCUUCCUCAGACAUUAGUGACAUUUAAAUGAGAUUUAGAAACUUCAUGCGUUGUAUUCAGUUUCUACAUUCUAGUGCCUGACAAGGCUGAACCCAUGAACUUUUGCUUGUAAUGCCACUGUUAUGGCACCGCACUACUGCUAGUGUGUUUUUGAACAUGCUAACGCGCUCAUGCCAUCUUUACAAAACACAAGCAUCAUUUUGCUUCAAGCCUAGGGGCUGUACAACAGUACUAAAUAAAAAAAAUGUAUCAUAUAUAUGACAGCAUCGAUGUUACAAAGCGGAUCACAGGGUGGUACCUCCACCAAAAAAAUGAGCUAUGACCCCGUUUGUGGUCUUAUUUGGAAGAAUUUUCAAAAGAAGCCAUACCUCGAUGCACAGUUUGUACACAUUCCCUC
This 1630-nucleotide long non-coding RNA is filed under the name Setaria viridis. RNAcentral's name for it is "long non-coding RNA (SVIR_LNC004452)". Lineage: Eukaryota; Viridiplantae; Streptophyta; Magnoliopsida; Poales; Poaceae. The record is from RNAcentral.